This 659-nucleotide ribosomal RNA is filed under the name Bacillus sp. N300III. RNAcentral's name for it is "partial 16S ribosomal RNA". Lineage: Bacteria; Bacillati; Bacillota; Bacilli; Caryophanales; Bacillaceae. The record is from RNAcentral.
AAUGCGUUUGCUGCAGCACUAAAGGGCGGAAACCCUCUAACACUUAGCACUCAUCGUUUACGGCGUGGACUACCAGGGUAUCUAAUCCUGUUCGCUCCCCACGCUUUCGCGCCUCAGCGUCAGUUACAGACCAGAGAGCCGCCUUCGCCACUGGUGUUCCUCCACAUCUCUACGCAUUUCACCGCUACACGUGGAAUUCCGCUCUCCUCUUCUGCACUCAAGUUCCCCAGUUUCCAAUGACCCUCCCCGGUUGAGCCGGGGGCUUUCACAUCAGACUUAAGGAACCGCCUGCGCGCGCUUUACGCCCAAUAAUUCCGGACAACGCUUGCCACCUACGUAUUACCGCGGCUGCUGGCACGUAGUUAGCCGUGGCUUUCUGGUCAGGUACCGUCAAGGUACCGGCAGUUACUCCGGUACUUGUUCUUCCCUGACAACAGAACUUUACGACCCGAAAGCCUUCAUCGUUCACGCGGCGUUGCUCCGUCAGACUUUCGUCCAUUGCGGAAGAUUCCCUACUGCUGCCUCCCGUAGAGUCUGGGCCGUGUCUCAGUCCCAGUGUGGCCGAUCACCCUCUCAGGUCGGCUACGCAUCGUUGCCUUGGUGAGCCGUUACCUCACCAACUAGCUAAUGCGCCGCGGGCCCAUCUGUAAGUGACAGCC